AUCAAAGGCUCAAAUUUUUAAAAGUGGGAAAUGUAUCUCGUCUGAUCUCGGAAGCUAAGCAGGGUCGGGCCUGGUUAGUACUUAGAUGGGAGACCACUUAGGAUGAUCGGGUGCUGUAGGUG
RNAcentral lists this ribosomal RNA (122 nucleotides) under Pteropus vampyrus (large flying fox). Lineage: Eukaryota; Metazoa; Chordata; Mammalia; Chiroptera; Pteropodidae. The record is from RNAcentral.